AUGCACCUGGGACAGCAGCAGAGGGUGGCCCAGGUCCGUGGGCCCCUGCACCCACGUGGGAGACCCGGAUGGAGCUCCUGGCUCCUGCCUGACCCAGCUCUGGUUGUUGCAGCCAUUUGGGGAGUGACCUGUGACCUCAUGGAUGGAAGAUCUCACUCGCUCGCUCACUCGCUCGCUCUGUGUGUGUGUGUGUGUCUUUCUCUCUCUCUCUCUAAAGCUAUGGCAGAGUCCCAGGCCCUGGCCCAGGGCUGCAGAAUCAAGGUGACCCCGGGCUCGGUCAAUCCACUGAGAGAAGCCAAGAGCUCAGCUUCUGUGGGUCCCUGCGCUGCAGCCUGGCUCCCUUGCUCUUUCCAGGCCUUGGGACCUCACCCCCUCCCCAACCUCAGAAACCCCUGGGGCGCCUGGCGCCUCGUGGGCCCUGGGGGAGGCUCCCGGCCGCCGCCCCCAAGUCUCGCUCUGCCCGUCCGAGUUUUUCCUUGUCGUUCUUCGAGAAGCACAAUUCCUCUCAGGGUGAGGGCAGCGAGGUGUCUGAGGGCGCGGCUGGCACGUGUGCCCGCGCCUCCCCUCAGGGCCGGCCGCAACGCGCCUGCGUCUACACCCGCUGGGGCUCGGGCAAGCAGCGCCCGGGAGCCCGCAGGACGUGGCGAACGGCGGCCAGAUCGCUGUUCUGCGGGCCCCGAAGGGGGCGCCGGGGAGGACGCGGCCCUCGGGGCAGCCUGGGCGGCUGCGGUGAGGCCUUGCUUCCCCCCACGACCCGCGGAGCCGCACUGCGGCCGCCAUGCCCCGCCGCCCGGACGCGCGGCGCCCACCCCGCACGCGGCCCGCCGGUUCUCGGUGGAGCGCGAGCGCCCCCGCGUGGCUCGCCGGGGAAUGCGCCGCGGUGUCCGCGGAGCCCGCGCGUGCCGGCGGCCGGCCGGUGGCCGAGUGGACGUCACGGGCGGAACGCGCGCUCCCCGGCCGUUCCUGGGCGCACGAAUCCAGUGGAUCAAGGAGGCUUUAGACAGGACGAGGACCGAGGGAGCGGCCACCGGCAGGCUGAGGCGGAGCCGGCGCGUCCGGCGGCCGCGGCCAGGCAGGGUCGUGGGCAGUGGCCCCGCUUCGACACGGCCCUGGUGCGAUCUGCGGCAGGGGCGGGCCAGCCUGGGCCCGCGCCCCGCACGCCGGCCGGGGACGGCCGAGGGGAGCUCUGGGCUCCUGCCGGCCGCAGGCGCAGCCGCAGCGUUUCCCGCCACUGCGAGAUGGCGCGCUGCGCCCUCGCUCGUCCGGCCGAUUCCGUCUGAUUUUCACUCGAGACCCGUGGGAGCCUAA
This 1308-nucleotide long non-coding RNA is filed under the name Oryctolagus cuniculus (rabbit). Its description in RNAcentral is "lncRNA (ENSOCUG00000037004.1)". The record is from RNAcentral. Lineage: Eukaryota; Metazoa; Chordata; Mammalia; Lagomorpha; Leporidae.